UACGUAGGGGGCUAGCGUUGUCCGGAAUCAUUGGGCGUAAAGCGCGUGUAGGCGGCCCGGUAAGUCCGCUGUGAAAGUCGGGGGCUCAACCCUCGGAAGCCGGUGGAUACUGUCGAGCUCGAGUACGGAAGAGGCGAGUGGAAUUCCUGGUGUAGCGGUGAAAUGCGCAGAUAUCAGGAGGAACACCAAUUGCGAAGGCAGCUCGCUGGGACGUAACUGACGCUGAGACGCGAAAGCGUGGGGAGCAAACAGG
RNAcentral lists this ribosomal RNA (253 nucleotides) under uncultured bacterium. RNAcentral's name for it is "partial 16S ribosomal RNA". It matches the Rfam family "Bacterial small subunit ribosomal RNA", at positions 524 to 776 of the family's 1533-position model. The record is from RNAcentral.